This 401-nucleotide unclassified non-coding RNA is filed under the name soil metagenome. Its description in RNAcentral is "partial contains 5.8S ribosomal RNA, internal transcribed spacer 2, and large subunit ribosomal RNA". The stretch from base 1 to 121 matches the Rfam family "5.8S ribosomal RNA", at positions 35 to 154 of the family's 154-position model. The record is from RNAcentral.
GAUGAAGAACGUAGCGAAAUGCGAUAAGUAAUGUGAAUUGCAGAAUUCAGUGAAUCAUCGAAUCUUUGAACGCACCUUGCGCCCUUUGGCUAUUCUGAAGGGCAUGCCUGUUUGAGUAUCAUGAACACCUCAACUCUCAUGGUUUGCCAUGAUGAGCUUGGACUUUGGGGGUCUUGCUGGCCUACGGUCGGCUCCUCUCAAAUGAAUCAGCUUGCCAGUGUUUGGUGGCAUCACGGGUGUGAUAACUAUCUACGCUUGUGGUUUCCCGCCAGGUAACCUUCAGUGAUGGAGGUUCGCUGGGGCUCAUAAAUGUCCCUCCACAGUGAGGACAGCUUUUGAACGUUUGAUCUCACAUCAGGUAGGACUACCCGCUGAACUUAAGCAUAUCAAUAAGCGGAGGA